CUACGGGGGGCACCAGUGGGGAAUAUUGGACAAUGGGGGAAACCCUGAUCCAGCAAUGCCGCGUGUGUGAAGAAGGCCUGCGGGUUGUAAAGCACUUUCGGUUGGGAGGACUGCUUCUAGCACUAAUAUUGUUGGAAGUUGACGUUACCUUCAGAAGAAGCACCGGGUAGCUCCGUGCCAGCAGCCGCGGUAAUACGGAGGGGGCAAGCGUUAAUCGGAAUUACUGGGCGUAAAGCGCGCGUAGGCGGCUAGAUCAGUCGGGUGUGAAAGCCCCGGGCUUAACCUGGGAACUGCAUCCGAUACUGUCUAGCUUGAGUACAGGAGAGGAGAGUGGAAUUCCACAUGUAGCGGUGAAAUGCGUAGAUAUGCGGAGGAACACCAAUGGCGAAGGCAGCUCUCUGGCCUGAUACUGACGCUGAGGUGCGAAAGCGUGGGGAGCAAACAGGAUUAGAUACCCUAGUAGUC
Molecule: ribosomal RNA, 465 nt
Filed under: uncultured bacterium
Lineage: Bacteria
Description: partial 16S ribosomal RNA
Rfam family: Bacterial small subunit ribosomal RNA
Source: RNAcentral